Molecule: long non-coding RNA, 1395 nt
Filed under: Homo sapiens (human)
Lineage: Eukaryota; Metazoa; Chordata; Mammalia; Primates; Hominidae
Description: ETS1 antisense RNA 1 (ETS1-AS1)
Source: RNAcentral
GUCAGGAGGGAAGAAGGGAGGGUGGGGUGGGGUUGGGGGAGAGGGGAGGACUUGGGAGCCUGUUUGCCCUGGAAAGCUCAAUAUAAGAAAACAAAGAGGAUAGUAGUGUGGGCUUUGGAAUAAGACUCAGGUUCAAAUUCUUACUCUACCAACUAGCCAGCUGAAUUGCCACAGCCAUCUCUUUGCAGAAUAGCUUGGAUGCUCAAUUUUCCUGAACGAUCUCCAGCGAGAGAUAGAACAACUAUCACCACAUUUCAUUUAAAAAUCUCUUCAAGACCCUUCCUCAGUUCUUAAACUGGCAACCUGCCCAGCAUCAGCCUCACUUGAGAAAUUCGAGAACUACCUGAUUGGAGAAGAGAACUAGAUUUAUAUUUGUUUUGAGUCACAGAAAAGUGACAGUUUAAAUUCUGAAAGAAGAUCACAUUUGUAGUGCCUCUUUGGAGACAAAACCUUAGGUCUUGGAUUUGUCACAUGUUAGAGCUCAAUGGGAGUUUAUCAGUGCUCUCCAAGUCCAGCACUCCUAUUUACCAGAGGUGAAAAAUGAGUGUGAGUGAGGAAAUUAUUAUUUCCAGGGCCACACAAUCUAAAAAAGUCAGUGUCAGUACUAGAACCAGAUGCCCUGAUAGCAGUUCUCUCCCUGGCAUCUCCUUGCAUUUACUUUGCAUUUCACUUUGGCAGGAGAAGUACCAGACACCCUUGAGACACAAGACAGGAUACAAUGGACAUGGGAGUAGAUAGAUGAGCAGACUCAAUUUCUAGAAAUCCAACUUCUCUACACUGGAUGUAUUGUCUUUGGGCAAAUACAUUGCAGGAUAACCACACUAUGGUUCCCUGUGGGAGACAGCUUGGCAUGGGCUGUCAGGAGAGAAAGGGCCUGGGUUGGCUCUAUUGCUGUCUGCAGUUUCUUUAGACUAUAAUUAUGAACCAUUCAACUGCAUCUGCAGCCCCAACAAUGUGGGGUGGAUUGGCCUAAUCCACAGACCAAGCGACAUUUUAAAAUCCAGCAGUUUAGACACGUAUUCCUCUUGCAGCAAAUCAAACAUGGCUCAGACAGGAAGAGAUGGCUGCUCAGAAGCAGUCUUCAGGAAUUUCCGAACUUCGAGUUGAAUCUUUUAUUUCACUGGCUUCCACAAAGCGUUACAGCUCACAUUUGAUUCUCAGCUCUUAAGGACCAAAAAGAAAUGAAGUCUUCUUUAAUUUGCAAGCAGCCAGCUGUGCUCACUCCACAUCUUGCAUCAGCCCUGUGAAGGAGUCAGAAUGUAGUGGAUGGUCCUGCCCAUGACUCAUGAGGUGGAACAGACCCAGCUCACAUCUCAUCUAUCUGGAUUGGCUCCCAUACAAUAAAAAUCUUUCUUCCGUUGAGUUGGUGAAAAGAAGAGAAAAAAAAAAAAAAAA